RNAcentral lists this transfer RNA (74 nucleotides) under Tersicoccus phoenicis. RNAcentral's name for it is "Arthrobacter sp. 1P05MA tRNA". It matches the Rfam family "tRNA". Rfam says of the family: Transfer RNA (tRNA) molecules are approximately 80 nucleotides in length. Their secondary structure includes four short double-helical elements and three loops (D, anti-codon, and T loops). Further hydrogen bonds mediate the characteristic L-shaped molecular structure. tRNAs have two regions of fundamental functional importance: the anti-codon, which is responsible for specific mRNA codon recognition, and the 3' end, to which the tRNAs corresponding amino acid is attached (by aminoacyl-tRNA synthetases). tRNAs cope with the degeneracy of the genetic code in two manners: having more than one tRNA (with a specific anti-codon) for a particular amino acid; and 'wobble' base-pairing, i.e. permitting non-standard base-pairing at the 3rd anti-codon position. Lineage: Bacteria; Bacillati; Actinomycetota; Actinomycetes; Micrococcales; Micrococcaceae. The record is from Rfam by way of RNAcentral.
GCCUCUGUAGCUCAGUAGGAUAGAGCGGCGCUCUCCUAAAGCGCAGGCCGUCGGUUCGAUUCCGGCCAGGGGCA